GUCCUAGCUGUAAAACGGUGCACGUUUGCUGUAAGAGGAAUCGACCCCUUUUGUGGCGAAGCUAACGCGUUAAACGUGCCGCCUGGGGAGUACGGUCGCAAGAUUAAAACUCAAAGAAAUUGACGGGGGCCUGCACAAGCGGUGGAGUAUGUGGCUUAAUUCGAUGCAACGCGAAGAACCUUACCUGGCCUUGACAUGUAGGUAGUAGAAGCCCGAAAGGGUGACGAGGUAGCAAUACCAGCUUACACAGGUGCUGCAUGGCUGUCGU
RNAcentral lists this ribosomal RNA (268 nucleotides) under uncultured bacterium. RNAcentral's name for it is "partial 16S ribosomal RNA". It matches the Rfam family "Bacterial small subunit ribosomal RNA", at positions 793 to 1055 of the family's 1533-position model. The record is from RNAcentral.